GCCAGGUACAGUGGCUUGCACCUGUACUCCCAGCUACUCAGGAGGCUGAGGCAGGAGGAUCCUUUGGACCCAGGAAUUCAAGGCAGCAGUGAGCUAGGUUCCUGCCACUGCACUCCUGCCUGGGUGACAAAGGGAGACCCUAUCUCUA
Papio anubis (olive baboon) is the source of this 148-nucleotide unclassified non-coding RNA. It matches the Rfam family "Metazoan signal recognition particle RNA". Rfam says of the family: The signal recognition particle (SRP) is a universally conserved ribonucleoprotein. It is involved in the co-translational targeting of proteins to membranes. Lineage: Eukaryota; Metazoa; Chordata; Mammalia; Primates; Cercopithecidae. The record is from Ensembl.